Molecule: non-coding RNA, 28 nt
Filed under: Drosophila melanogaster (fruit fly)
Lineage: Eukaryota; Metazoa; Arthropoda; Insecta; Diptera; Drosophilidae
Source: RNAcentral
ACCUGAUUGAUAGCGUAGACGACGACCC